UUGACCUCGGAUCAGGUAGGAGUUACCCGCUGAACUUAAGCAUAUCA
RNAcentral lists this ribosomal RNA (47 nucleotides) under Penicillium sp. RCEF3398. RNAcentral's name for it is "partial 28S ribosomal RNA". The record is from RNAcentral. Lineage: Eukaryota; Fungi; Ascomycota; Eurotiomycetes; Eurotiales; Aspergillaceae.